AGAGUUUGAUCCUGGCUCAGGAUGAACGCUAGCUACAGGCUUAACACAUGCAAGUCGAGGGGCAGCAUGGAGUCAGCUUGCUGACUCUGAUGGCGACCGGCGCACGGGUGAGUAACGCGUAUCCAACCUUCCCUAUAGUAGGGGAUAGCCCGGCGAAAGUCGGAUUAAUACCCUAUGUUUUCCGAUGCAGGCAUCUAAAAGGGAACAAAGGCUUGCCGCUAUAGGAUGGGGAUGCGUCUGAUUAGCUUGAUGGCGGGGUAACGGCCCACCAUGGCAUCGAUCAGUAGGGGUUCUGAGAGGAAGGUCCCCCACAUUGGAACUGAGACACGGUCCAAACUCCUACGGGAGGCAGCAGUGAGGAAUAUUGGUCAAUGGCCGCGAGGCUGAACCAGCCAAGUAGCGUGCAGGAUGACGGCCCUAUGGGUUGUAAACUGCUUUUAUGCGGGGAUAAAGUGACGUACGUGUGCGUUUUUGCAGGUACCGCAUGAAUAAGGACCGGCUAAUUCCGUGCCAGCAGCCGCGGUAAUACGGAAGGUCCGGGCGUUAUCCGGAUUUAUUGGGUUUAAAGGGAGCGCAGGCGGCCUUUUAAGCGUGACGUGAAAUGUAGGCGCUCAACGUCUGAAUUGCGUCGCGAACUGUUAGGCUUGAGUAGACGGAAUGUCGGCGGAAUUCGUGGUGUAGCGGUGAAAUGCUUAGAUAUCACGAAGAACUCCGAUUGCGAAGGCAGCUGACAGCAGUUUUACUGACGCUCAUGCUCGAAAGUGCGGGUAUCGAACAGGAUUAGAUACCCUGGUAGUCCGCACGGUAAAC
RNAcentral lists this ribosomal RNA (810 nucleotides) under uncultured bacterium. RNAcentral describes it as "bacterial SSU rRNA". It matches the Rfam family "Bacterial small subunit ribosomal RNA", at positions 8 to 807 of the family's 1533-position model. The record is from RNAcentral.